This 1368-nucleotide ribosomal RNA is filed under the name uncultured bacterium. Its description in RNAcentral is "bacterial SSU rRNA". It matches the Rfam family "Bacterial small subunit ribosomal RNA", at positions 28 to 1381 of the family's 1533-position model. The record is from RNAcentral.
GACGAACGCUGGCGGCGUGCCUAAUACAUGCAAGUAGAACGCUGAAGAGAGGAGCUUGCUCUUCUUGGAUGAGUUGCGAACGGGUGAGUAACGCGUAGGUAACCUGCCUUGUAGCGGGGGAUAACUAUUGGAAACGAUAGCUAAUACCGCAUAACAAUGGAUGACCCAUGUCAUUUAUUUGAAAGGGGCAAAUGCUCCACUACAAGAUGGACCUGCGUUGUAUUAGCUAGUAGGUGAGGUAACGGCUCACCUAGGCGACGAUACAUAGCCGACCUGAGAGGGUGAUCGGCCACACUGGGACUGAGACACGGCCCAGACUCCUACGGGAGGCAGCAGUAGGGAAUCUUCGGCAAUGGGGGCAACCCUGACCGAGCAACGCCGCGUGAGUGAAGAGGGUUUUCGGAUCGUAAAGCUCUGUUGUAAGUCAAGAACGAGUGUGAGAGUGGAAAGUUCACACUGUGACGGUAGCUUACCAGAAAGGGACGGCUAACUACGUGCCAGCAGCCGCGGUAAUACGUAGGUCCCGAGCGUUGUCCGGAUUUAUUGGGCGUAAAGCGAGCGCAGGCGGUUUGAUAAGUCUGAAGUUAAGGCUGUGGCUCAACCAUAGUUCGCUUUGGAAACUGUCAAACUUGAGUGCAGAAGGGGAGAGUGGAAUUCCAUGUGUAGCGGUGAAAUGCGUAGAUAUAUGGAGGAACACCGGUGGCGAAAGCGGCUCUCUGGUCUGUAACUGACGCUGAGGCUCGAAAGCGUGGGGAGCGAACAGGAUUAGAUACCCUGGUAGUCCACGCCGUAAACGAUGAGUGCUAGGUGUUGGAUCCUUUCCGGGAUUCAGUGCCGCAGCUAACGCAUUAAGCACUCCGCCUGGGGAGUACGACCGCAAGGUUGAAACUCAAAGGAAUUGACGGGGGCCCGCACAAGCGGUGGAGCAUGUGGUUUAAUUCGAAGCAACGCGAAGAACCUUACCAGGUCUUGACAUCCCGAUGCUAUUUCUAGAGAUAGAAAGUUACUUCGGUACAUCGGUGACAGGUGGUGCAUGGUUGUCGUCAGCUCGUGUCGUGAGAUGUUGGGUUAAGUCCCGCAACGAGCGCAACCCCUAUUGUUAGUUGCCAUCACUCAGUUGGGCACUCUAGCGAGACUGCCGGUAAUAAACCGGAGGAAGGUGGGGAUGACGUCAAAUCAUCAUGCCCCUUAUGACCUGGGCUACACACGUGCUACAAUGGUUGGUACAACGAGUUGCGAGUCGGUGACGGCAAGCUAAUCUCUUAAAGCCAAUCUCAGUUCGGAUUGUAGGCUGCAACUCGCCUACAUGAAGUCGGAAUCGCUAGUAAUCGCGGAUCAGCACGCCGCGGUGAAUACGUUCCCGGGCCU